AUUGAACGCUGGCGGAAUGCUUUACACAUGCAAGUCGAACGGCAGCACGGGAGCUUGCUCCUGGUGGCGAGUGGCGAACGGGUGAGUAAUAUAUCGGAACGUAUCCAAUAAUGGGGGAUAACUAAUCGAAAGGUUGGCUAAUACCGCAUACGCCCUGAGGGGGAAAGCUGGGGAUCUUCGGACCUAGCGUUAAUGGAGCGGACGAUAUCUGAUUAGCUAGUUGGUGAGGUAAAAGCUCACCAAGGCGACGAUCAGUAGCUGGUCUGAGAGGACGACCAGCCACACUGGAACUGAGACACGGUCCAGACUCCUACGGGAGGCAGCAGUGGGGAAUUUUGGACAAUGGGGGAAACCCUGAUCCAGCCAUUCCGCGUGAGUGAAGAAGGCCUUCGGGUUGUAAAGCUCUUUCGCAAGGGAAGAAACGUUACCGGUGAAUAUCCGGUGAUAAUGGCGGUACCUUGAUAAGAAGCACCGGCUAACUACGUGCCAGCCGCCGCAGUAA
RNAcentral lists this ribosomal RNA (502 nucleotides) under uncultured bacterium. RNAcentral's name for it is "partial 16S ribosomal RNA". It matches the Rfam family "Bacterial small subunit ribosomal RNA", at positions 30 to 523 of the family's 1533-position model. The record is from RNAcentral.